UUGGGAGCUCUCCCAUAUGGUCGACCUGCAGGCGGCCGCGAAUUCACUAGUGAUUCGUAUUACCGCGGCUGCUGGCACAGAGUUAGCCGGUGCUUAUUCUGUCGGUAACGUCAAAACAGCAAGGUAUUCGCUUACUGCCCUUCCUCCCAACUUAAAGUGCUUUACAAUCCGAAGACCUUCUUCACUCACGCGGCAUUGCUGGAUCAGGCUUGCGCCCAUUGUCCAAUAUUCCCCACUGCUGCCUCCCGUAGGAGUCUGGGCCGUGUCUCAGUCCCAGUGUGGCUGAUCAUCCUCUCAGACCAGCUAAGGAUCGUCGGCUUGGUAGGCCUUUACCCCACCAACUACCUAAUCCUACGCGGGCUCAUCCCUGGCCGAUAAAUCUUUGGUCCGAAGACAUCAUCCGGUAUUAGCAGUCAUUUCUAACUGUUAUUCCGAAGCCAAGGGCAGAUUCCCACGCGUUACGCACCCGUGCGCCACUAACCCCGAAGGGUUCGUUCGACUUGCAUGUGUUAGGCAUGCCGCCAGCGUUCGUUCUGAGCCAUGAUCAAACUCUAAUCGAAUUCCCGCGGCCGCCAUGGCGGCCGGGAGCAUG
This 592-nucleotide ribosomal RNA is filed under the name uncultured Alphaproteobacteria bacterium. Its description in RNAcentral is "partial 16S ribosomal RNA". The record is from RNAcentral. Lineage: Bacteria; Pseudomonadati; Pseudomonadota; Alphaproteobacteria.